GACAUAGGUGGCAAACGUUAUCCGGAAUUAUUGGGCGUAAAGAGUGCGUAGGUGGUUUAAUAAGUUAGUAGUGGUAAAUUGGGGCUCAACUCCAUGGAAGUUACUAAUACUAUUAAACUAGAGGAUCGGAGAGGUUAACGGAAUUCUAUGUGUAGCGGUAAAAUGCUCAAAUAUAUAGAGGGACACCAAUUGGCGAAGGCAGUUGACUAUUCGGUUCCUGACGUUGAGGCACGAAAGCGUGGGGAGCAAGACGG
RNAcentral lists this ribosomal RNA (254 nucleotides) under uncultured bacterium. RNAcentral's name for it is "partial 16S ribosomal RNA". It matches the Rfam family "Bacterial small subunit ribosomal RNA", at positions 524 to 776 of the family's 1533-position model. The record is from RNAcentral.